Molecule: unclassified non-coding RNA, 470 nt
Filed under: Pseudoscardovia radai
Lineage: Bacteria; Bacillati; Actinomycetota; Actinomycetes; Bifidobacteriales; Bifidobacteriaceae
Description: partial 16S-23S ribosomal RNA intergenic spacer
Source: RNAcentral
GCUUUUGUCUCGCUUCCGUUGCGGGGGGCGUGGGCGCCGGCUGGCAGCGGAAGAAUCGGAUGCUUGUAUUUCGCCUCUUUCGGGGGCGGGGUGGCAUGGGGCAUGCUCUUGGGCUCCCGGGCCGCGACCUGGUGGCCUGGCGUCCCGCGGGGCGCGCCGACCGGUGUUUCCGGUGGGGCGUGGCUUGCGCGCGGACCCGUGGUUUGAGAACUGGAUAGUGGACGCGAGCGGGCACGGCCCGCCUCCCUUCCCCCUUUUCUUGGGGGUGUGUGGUGGCGUGGCUUGUUGCUCGUUGUGAUUUUUCCUGAUUCCCGGCGCCUAGCGCGCCGGGGUCGAUCGUUUUGUGAUCGUCAGUGUGAUGAUUGUCGUCUGGCAUUUCCGGGCACUUGGUGCCCGGGCUCGUUCGCCGGCGUGCGCGUGCGCCUUUCGUGGCGCGUGUGUGUAUGCCGGUCAGGGCUUUUGGUGGAUGC